Molecule: ribosomal RNA, 705 nt
Filed under: Triticum aestivum (bread wheat)
Lineage: Eukaryota; Viridiplantae; Streptophyta; Magnoliopsida; Poales; Poaceae
Description: partial small subunit ribosomal RNA
Source: RNAcentral
AUGGCUAUCUCCAAAUCGAAGGGAGGCCUGGGAUUUCGUGACUUGGAAAAAUUUAAUGAUGCUAUGCUAGCAAAACAGGCUUGGCGACUAAUGGAGAAGCCUGAUAGCUUAUGCGCGCGUGUCCUCAAGGGACGGUAUUUCCCGGAUGGGGAAUUUCUGCAGGCGGGAUGCCCUGUGAGUGCCUCCACUACGUGGAAAGCGAUCAUCACCGGCAGGGAAGUGCUUAAACAGGGCUUGAUCCGCAGGGCCGGGGAUGGAAUGACUACUGAAGUGUGGCAUGAUAACUGGAUACAAGGAAGCUCAUCUUUUAAACCAGUGUGUAGCGUGGGGAGCGACCCUAUACACCUGGUUGCGGAUUUGAUGCAUGAAGAUGGUGAAUGGAAUGAGGAAAUUAUCAGUGGGAAUUUCAUUGCCUCGGAUGCGAAAGCUAUACUUAACAUGCCAAGACCAUGGAUGGCUCUAUCUGAUUUUUGGGCAUGGUGGCAUGAACGAUCUGGACUUUUCACGGUCCGAUCUGCAUAUCGUAUGCUUAUGGAGGAACAACAAGCAAAGAUGUUACAAGUUGGGAACUCAUUGUUGGGGAACGUAGUAAUUUCAAAAUUUUCCCUACGCACACGCAAGAUCAUGGUGAUGCAUAGCAACGAGAGGGGAGAGUAUGAUCUACGUACCCUUGUAGAUCGCAACGGAAGCGUUGACACAACAUAG